RNAcentral lists this ribosomal RNA (422 nucleotides) under uncultured bacterium. Its description in RNAcentral is "partial 16S ribosomal RNA". It matches the Rfam family "Bacterial small subunit ribosomal RNA", at positions 360 to 774 of the family's 1533-position model. The record is from RNAcentral.
AAUAUUUGACAAUGGGGGCAAUCCUGAUCCAGCCAUGCCGCGUGUGUGAAGAAGGUCUUCGGAUANUCAAGCACUUUAUGUUGGGGNGAAUGGCUUUAGGCUAAUACCCUGAAGUUUUGACGUUACCAACAGAAUAAGCACCGGCGAACUUUGUGCCAGCAGCCGCGGUAAUACAGAGGGUGCAAGCGUUAAUCGGAAUUGCGGGGCGUAAAGCGCGCGUAGGGGGGUCAGUACAAGUGGUGUGAAAACACCAGGCUUAACCUGGCAACUGCUUUCAUAACAGCUGAGCUAGAGUACGGUAGAGGGUAGUGGAAUUUCCUGUGUGUCGAUGAGAUGCGUAGAUAUAGGAAGGAACACCAGUGGCGAAAGCGACUACCUGGACUGAUACUGACACUGAGGUGCGAAAGCGUGGGGAGCAAACA